Molecule: long non-coding RNA, 325 nt
Organism: Xenia sp. Carnegie-2017
Lineage: Eukaryota; Metazoa; Cnidaria; Anthozoa; Malacalcyonacea; Xeniidae
Exons: 3
Source: RefSeq, a predicted model, not a curated record
CUGUGGACAAGAGAAAGCAAAGACCAUCAAUGUAAACGUGGACGAAACUAGGAGUAAAAAAAAGCAAGAACCUAGAAAAUUGAACGCCAUGAAAUGAGCGAAAUGGAAGUUGUAAAAGCUAAAAUGAUUGUUGGCAAAGUGGAGAUAUGCUGAUUGCUUUUCAUAAUGUGAGAAGCCAUUGCUAUAUGAGAAAGUUCGACCUCAAAAUAUUUGCUCCUCAAACAAGAAAAUGGACGGAUAUUAUUAUGAGUUGAAGUUAAGUUAACAAGCCAGCUGGCUGUAUGAAGAAAAGCGUCAGAUGGAUAUAACGACGUAAUAUCUUGAA